CCUACGGGCGGCAGCAGUAGGGAAUCUUCCACAAUGGGCGAAAGCCUGAUGGAGCAACGCCGCGUGGGUGAAGAAGGUCUUCGGAUCGUAAAACCCUGUUGUUAGAGAAGAAAGUGCGUGAGAGUAACUGUUCACGUUUCGAUGGUAUCUAACCAGAAAGCCAGGGCUAACUACGUGCCAGCAGCCGCGGUAAUACGUAGGUGGCAAGCGUUAUCGGGAUUUAUUGGGCGUAAAGGGAACGCAGGCGGUCUUUUAAGUCUGAUGUGAAAGCCUUCGGCUUAACCGGAGUAGUGCAUUGGAGACUGGGAGACGUGAGUGCAGAAGAGGAGAGUGGAACUCCAUGUGUAGCGGUGAAAUGCGUAGAUAUAUGGAAGAACACCAGUGGCGAAAGCGGCUCUCUGGUCUGUAACUGACGCUGAGGUUCGAAAGCGUGGGUAGCAAACAGGAUUAGAUACCCCGGUAGUC
Molecule: ribosomal RNA, 465 nt
Filed under: uncultured bacterium
Lineage: Bacteria
Description: partial 16S ribosomal RNA
Rfam family: Bacterial small subunit ribosomal RNA
Source: RNAcentral